This 154-nucleotide ribosomal RNA is filed under the name uncultured bacterium. Its description in RNAcentral is "partial 16S ribosomal RNA". It matches the Rfam family "Bacterial small subunit ribosomal RNA", at positions 355 to 507 of the family's 1533-position model. The record is from RNAcentral.
UGGGGAAUAUUGCGCAAUGGGCGGAAGCCUGACGCAGCGACGCCGCGUGGGGGAUGAAGGCCUUCGGGUUGUAAACCUCUUUUACCACUCACGAAGGCCCCUGGUUUUCUGGGGGUUGACGGUAGGUGGUGAAUAAGGACCGGCUAACUACGUG